This 305-nucleotide ribosomal RNA is filed under the name uncultured bacterium. RNAcentral describes it as "bacterial SSU rRNA". It matches the Rfam family "Bacterial small subunit ribosomal RNA", at positions 338 to 660 of the family's 1533-position model. The record is from RNAcentral.
CCUACGGGGGGCAGCAGUGGGGGAUAUUGCACAAUGGGGGGAACCCUGAUGCAGCGACGCCGCGUGGGUGAAGGAGCGUUUCGGCGCGUAAAGCCCUAUCGGCAGGGAAGAAGAUGACGGUACCUGACCAAGAAGCCCCGGCUAACUACGUGCCAGCAGCCGCGGUAAUACGUAGGGGGCAAGCGUUAUCCGGAAUUACUGGGUGUAAAGGGAGCGUAGACGGUUAAGUAAGUCUGGAGUGAAAGGCCGGGGCCCAACCCCGGGACUGCUCUGGAAACUAUUCAACUUGAGUGCAGGUGAGGUAA